CUGUGAAAAUGUGUGAACCAGCAUUACCACCUGCCCUGGAGUGAGUUACGCUGCAAGUGAGGAUUUGGAGAUGAAGGUACUUGUGCCUGCAGGGUAGAUACAGCAGCGCUGCAGCCUGGGGGCUGGCUUCCAGGUGGGUGACAGGAAAGAACUCGAACUUCUGUCAAACCAAGCAUCCAGGAAGUUCCUUUUGUGUGUGAGCCCAACUUGGCUGCCUGGAUGUCUUGACCUCAUGGAACAAUUGCGUAAAUACAAAGCAUUUUUGUACUGCUUUCUUCUUCAAAGUGUUUUAUAAAUGUUAAAUCCCCUUAGUAACAAGUGGACCUUUGCUUCACCCAGAGUUACAGGUAAAGAAAGCCUCCAGUGCCAGGAUAUGAAACCAGACCAUCCCAACUGGGAGCUGUCUCACAGGCAGUGACAGGGACCGCCCGCAGCACUCGGCGUCAGCCUUUUCUUGGGUCUUGAAAAAUAUCUAGAAGAAUGAAGCCAGCUCUGAAAAUUGGUUUCACAUAUUCCUCUGGCUGCAGAGACCAGGCUUCCACCUGCGGUUCCAGAGCUGCCUCUUCCUUCAUGUUAACGAACGCAGCAGCGAUGCCAGAGCAGACGGGGAAUAGAAACCCUGGGGCUGGUAACCAAAGAGAGGACUAUGCUCCUGCAGCCACCGGAAUGUGCAAACGUAGGAGGCACCAUCUGAACCAGCACUGCCCUCCACGCACAGAUGAGCUGUGAACUCCUGGAAAAUGGGGAAGAUUUGGGGAGUCUGCGACUCCAGGAACCUACAUGACCUUGGAAAGCCAAAGAAGCCCCCUACCUCCUCCAGUUCCAAUUCUACUGGAGAGGCAGCCACAGAAGGUGCAUUUCACUCACUGAGCGACUCUGCAAGUGCUGCUCCACCAUCCCUGGCUGUCCUCAAGGACUCCACAGCCCAUUCCUACCUCUGUGUCAUGCUGGG
Long non-coding RNA from Calidris pugnax (ruff), 952 nucleotides. RefSeq lists it as uncharacterized. The transcript is spliced from 4 exons. NCBI's taxonomy places the organism in Eukaryota, Metazoa, Chordata, Aves, Charadriiformes, Scolopacidae. The record is from RefSeq and is a predicted model, not a curated record.